This is a long non-coding RNA of Saccostrea cuccullata (small rock oyster), 202 nucleotides long. RefSeq lists it as uncharacterized. The transcript is spliced from 3 exons. The record is from RefSeq and is a predicted model, not a curated record. NCBI's taxonomy places the organism in Eukaryota, Metazoa, Mollusca, Bivalvia, Ostreida, Ostreidae.
AUAGAAAACGAAAAAAAUUCAGAACGAAAACGAGGCUUACGCCAUAUUGUUCUAUGGUAAAAAAGGUGUUGACAUUUCUUAGAGGAAGUGCGACAAAUAUUCUUCUUCUACAGAGUUCCACAUUUAGCAGUUGAAUCCUGCAAGGUCCUUCCCCGGAAGAACCAGUUGAGGAAUACCAGACCAGUCUCAGAAAUCCCAGGUA